RNAcentral lists this ribosomal RNA (2088 nucleotides) under Triticum aestivum (bread wheat). RNAcentral's name for it is "partial small subunit ribosomal RNA". The record is from RNAcentral. Lineage: Eukaryota; Viridiplantae; Streptophyta; Magnoliopsida; Poales; Poaceae.
CUCCGAUGGGAAAAGAAGGCAAGGGUAGAGCGCAUCGGCGGCGAUUUUAAAGGGGAGAGGAGGGGCACUUUGGGAUCGGCGGUGUGUUCUCGGUUUAGGGACGGCGGCUCUGGGGGGUUAGGCGAGGCAGCCUAAAGAAGGGCGCUUAGCUUCAAAGGCAGCUAAGCGCCAGCUAAUCCCGCCCCGGAGCGGCAGCGAGAGCACUAAGGCUCCCAAGCGCGCAGCGCGUCGCCCUAAGUGUGGCCGGCGGUACAGCUCCACGAAGGGGAUGGGCGGCGGCCCGAUGCACGCUUUGGGUCACCGGCACGGGGGGCAAGGGCACCACCUCUGCUGGCGAUUCUUUCUUUCCCUUUCCCGGCUUUUCUUUCUCUUUUCCUCCUUACUGUUCUUUAGAAGGGUAGUCCCACCACCACUCUGUUUUGUAAGUUUUGCGUCGGUAUUCUUCUCUUUCGUACUUCUAUGCUCGUUUCGACCGGGCCUCAGGUUUUGACGGAGGUUUCUUGUCAAACUCGUCAACCUCUUCUCACCUGAGAGUCUUCUCAUACCCCGAGGAAGAAAGUAAGUCUGUCAUGUACCUAGUGGUCUCUCGAGAGUCCUGUCGUCAUUCGCUUCUUUCCACCAUGAGGGUCCGGGAUCAGUUUUAUUCUUACCCUGUCAUGAAGCGUAAUUCUAUUUUUCUCUAGUCCUUUGAGGCAGUCGGUACAGCCUACCAAGAUCCCAAGAAGUCGUUGGUGGACAGGUUGUUUACCGAUGUGGAAGUAGGAACAACUCAUACGUCUUACGUCAAGUUGGAGCGUCCCUACAAUACCACUUCAGUCGACGACCAGAGGUCGUUUCGUAGUUCUCCCCAUGAGUUAGACACGGUUUUGUUUACCUACAUUUUGGGGGACGUUGCUAGAACGUUUCUCAAGGAAGGUACUGUUUAUAACGAGGUUUCCACCUAGGGGGUUGGAGUCGCUUCAAGUGCGUUUUCUAUCUAUGGGGUUGGAGUCGUUUCUAGUACGUUUUCUAUCUAGGGGCCCACGGACAAUUACGAUGUGGAAGUAGACGGUUCCACUUCCCUUCACGACUAGGAAACGGAUGCGUCGACUGUGCUGCUCAACAAGGAGGUGGACGGUUCCGCCGUGUCUCUCAGCUGUAAGGAGGACGGUUCCAAUAACUGUAAGGAGUAAGUUUCCGCAACGUUUUCCAACUAGGAGACCACGGUAGGUUCCACUAGGCAUCUCUACGAGGAGGUGUCUCAAACGGCCACAACGUCUUCCUUUGUUAUUUUCAACGAAGAAGGGUGGUCGGUCUGUCCGUCGGCGUCGGACAAGACGUGUUUGGUUUCCACGGACAUCAGAGAGGGGAGUAGUUUGUCGUCGUCAGUUCGUGGAACGGCUUUCUUCUCGGAACAAGGAGACCGUCCUUGUGACUUUUUCCGAGUCAUGGUCUCCAAUUCGUCAGUUUCAGACUAGCAUUCUUCUCGGCGUUCCGACUCUUCCUUCUCUUAUUUCUCUCCUUCAAGGCUCUAGAUAAACAAUGGACCUUAGGUGGAAGGAACCUCUAACUCCUCUGGACCUUAGAGCCGCUGGUCCUAACCAACGAACCGCCACGUUUCUUUGGACUACGAAUGUUGUCGUCGACGUUCCGUUCACUAACAAACCGCGGGUACCUCGACCUCAAAAGUACCGUUGGUUCCCGAUAAGUAAACGGACUGGAACUACAGAUAGUCAACGGUAUACAACAAGGGAAAAUCCAAACACAUCCUUCUGACUCCAAUCUACUCUUCAUCUUCUCUACAACCCUCUAUCGACACGGCCACACCCUCUAUCACAAGGGGGUGCCGUCAAAAGGUCGAAACAAAGGAUCAAAAAGAAAAGGUCCUGCUACCUAAACCGUUGGAAGACAUCACAACAAUUAGAUAAACUGAAUGAAAACCAAAGGUUCGUUAACUAGAUGCCUGUUGGAACCUGGAACUCAAAAUUCCAAUAACAAUGGGGACUUUACUUAUGUAGUAAGUCUAUCGUGUGGUACAUUUAUUUAGCUCUACUUAGCACCGAAAACACAGGCUUAAUGUCGUAGUCCGUGUGACUUUCCGUAAGCAAG